Molecule: long non-coding RNA, 176 nt
Organism: Bradysia coprophila
Lineage: Eukaryota; Metazoa; Arthropoda; Insecta; Diptera; Sciaridae
Source: RefSeq, a predicted model, not a curated record
ACAUUAUAAACUGGAUAGUGGAAAUGUAAAGAGUCGCUACACUAUCGACUUAAAUAGCCUAUUUUUCAAAAAGAUUUUACAGAAUGAGGCUUUUGAAGUAAUACAAAGAUAAAGUAUAGACAGCGGUGUAGACGGUAUGCUUUACAACAUUAAAUCUCUUUUAUCGAGUAACUUAC